This 570-nucleotide ribosomal RNA is filed under the name Microsporidium sp. HEM-2006BIOS. RNAcentral's name for it is "partial 16S ribosomal RNA". It matches the Rfam family "Microsporidia small subunit ribosomal RNA", at positions 196 to 762 of the family's 1311-position model. Lineage: Eukaryota; Fungi; Microsporidia. The record is from RNAcentral.
UUGUCGAUACCUGUCAGCACGGGUGAGGGGUAUUUGGGUUUGGUUCCGGAUUAGGGAGCCUGACCCAGAUGGCUACUACGUCCAAGGAUGUGUCAGCAGGCGCGGAACUUGCCGAAUCCUUUUGGGAGGCAGUUAGCAAGCGUUGGGUUUGUUUGGAAUUGCAAAGAGAUUCCUUGAGAUUGGAGGGCAAGUCGGGUGCCAGCAGCCGCGGUAAUACCUGCUCCAAGAGUGUCUAUGGUGGAUGCUGCAGUUAAAAGGUUCGUAGUUGUGUUGCUUGCGCAUGUUUUGUGUGCCUGUGUGUGUGGCGGGCUGUGGAUGUGUGCGGCGAUGUGCGCAACAGACGGGGGGCACUGGAUAGUUGGGCGAGAGGUGAAAUGCGACGACCCUGACUGGACAGACGGAGGCGAAGGCGGUGCUCUUGGAUGGAUGUGAGGAUCAAGAACGAAGGCUGGAGGAUCGAAAUCGAUUAGAUACCGUUUUAGUUCCACCAGUAAACGAUGCCGACUGGAUGGUGUGUGUUGCACUGUGCGCGAGAAAUCUGUGAGUGUGAGGGCUCUGGGGAUAGUAUGA